This 75-nucleotide transfer RNA is filed under the name Syntrophorhabdaceae bacterium PtaU1.Bin034. RNAcentral's name for it is "tRNA-Lys". It matches the Rfam family "tRNA". From Rfam's summary of the family: Transfer RNA (tRNA) molecules are approximately 80 nucleotides in length. The record is from RNAcentral. Lineage: Bacteria; Pseudomonadati; Thermodesulfobacteriota; Syntrophorhabdia; Syntrophorhabdales; Syntrophorhabdaceae.
GGGCCGCUAGCUCAGUCCGGUAGAGCAGCUGACUCUUAAUCAGGAGGUCCAAGGUUCGAAUCCUUGGCGGCCCAC